UUGAAUGAUUAAGUUGAAUUUUAAUGACUUAAGAAUUUUUGAUUAAAAUUAAAAAUUUAUGAUGUAUAGACCUUAUACUCGUAACAUAGAAAAAAAGUAUGUGAAAGUGAUCACAUUACAAACGGAAAUUUAACGAAAUAAUUUUUGUUUCGACUCCAACUUUUUGUGCAGCCACUGAAGCUUCUGAUUCAAUAUCCUGAUAAUCUUCAAUAAGCAAUGUUAGCAUCUGUAGCCAAUUAACAUUUGAUUUAAAAUUUUCAUCGUUUAAGGUUUUUAUUUCAUGAGUUAAUUCAUGAAUGAUUGCUCCAGUACGCCAACCGUGUUGUAGUGUUACAUCGGCCAGAUCAGAAUAAGGAUGAUCACCAAAAUAUAAAACUGAAUGGCCCCUCCAACCAUUUCGUCACACGAUCCCACAGAUAACUGUUUGUUUCCUCGUUGAAUUCACGUAAAGGCGUAGUAACGUUUGUAAAAAAACGUGGUUUUCUUGCUUGCACAAUUACAACAUCAAAAAAGUUUCUCCAAUUUUCUCCGACCAAGAAAGUCAUACCUUUAUCUCUACAAAGUUUCUUGCAGCCUUUGAAAAAAUUUUCGUAAAUCUGGAUUAUACUGAAUAUACUUAUCUGGGUCACUGUAAACUGUUUGAUGCAUAAUUGGAUGACUACUUUGUACUGAAUGUUUGACAUCAUUGAACAAAACUAGAAUAGAGAAUAUACUAAAUGUAUGUACACACAUGUGACUAAUUUGUAGAUUCUUACUUGCCGGAUGGCACAGAAAACAGGUCAGCCAAUUGAAUCAUAUUGGCCGUUUUGGCUUUAGGAUCCUGCAAAAAUAGACGUUUUUAUAAGAAGCAUACGAUUUUUAUAUAAGGAUAAAAUUUCCUCUGGAGGAACUGGAGUUAAGCCCCGAUAAACAGAUUCCAAUUGAAUUUGUAAAAAUGAAUCCAGUUUUAGCAGCAACCCUUUUUCUAUAUCGUAAUGUAAACCU
Molecule: long non-coding RNA, 984 nt
Organism: Condylostylus longicornis
Lineage: Eukaryota; Metazoa; Arthropoda; Insecta; Diptera; Dolichopodidae
Exons: 6
Source: RefSeq, a predicted model, not a curated record